AUGCAACGAGGUAUAGCUCC
RNAcentral lists this small nuclear RNA (20 nucleotides) under Arabidopsis thaliana (thale cress). RNAcentral describes it as "snRNA_06294". The record is from RNAcentral. Lineage: Eukaryota; Viridiplantae; Streptophyta; Magnoliopsida; Brassicales; Brassicaceae.